Molecule: unclassified non-coding RNA, 1519 nt
Filed under: Hevea brasiliensis (rubber tree)
Lineage: Eukaryota; Viridiplantae; Streptophyta; Magnoliopsida; Malpighiales; Euphorbiaceae
Source: RNAcentral
CGGGAGUGAAUAUUUAGUUUAGCCCAUCUUAAUGGAAUCAACACAUGUUGCAACUAAUUUCUUAAUUGAAAACUGCAAGUUAUGGUAUGGUUGUUAGUAAUUUAAACCUUAGAGGCAAUAGAAGCGAAGGGAACACUGGGAAGGUGAGUAUUGACAAUCAAAGAGUUAUUUUUCAAUAUCUAGUCUUUUUAUGCCAAGGUGGAUAGAUUGUGGUUAGCUUCAUAUAUCAGAAGAGGAAAUUAGUUUUAUGUGAAAGGGGAACUUUAAGAAGAUGGAUAGCCUUAUAAUAUAAGGGAAGAAAAAGCCAAUUCCAUACUUGGUAUCUCUUGGUUUGUGCAAUGACUCCUAGGUAUUUUGCUAGAGAGUUUAUAUGGAUAUCACUCUCCAGUGCAAUUGACUCUCUUGAGCUCCCUUCUCAUUUUAUAUUUUUACGCUUAUUCCUAGGAAGUUUUGAAAGUCCAAUUUUCAAACAAGAAUGUAAGAGCUGGAAUCAUUGAUUUGUGAACUCUUAUAAUAUGUAGUUGUGCCAGCUUUAGCUUCUCUAUUUUCUAAUAUCUUCAUAAUUUAUUGUUCUGAUUUGUAGGUUGUUGCACACUUAGAACUGAUUCCAGUCUUCUCAAUAAUUUCGUUAGAUGCAUCCAUCAAAAUAAUCAUUUGGUUCGUUUCAUUUGAAACCGGAAAACAAAAUUUAUUUUCUUUAGUGCAUGAACAUUUAUUGCACUUGAUGCUUAUCAUUUCACAUAUUUGAUCACAAUUCUGAUAUGAUAGCAUCUAAUGCACAAAUAUUAGAUGCAAAGAUAUGGAGUCAAGUGGAAUUACCAAAAAAACAAAAUUCCAUGUUAAGGGGGGUAAUGCUUUAGAUUAGAAAUGAAUAGAAUAGUCAGUGCAUUGCUAUGACAACAUGGCUAAUGUAAUUAUGAUAGGGGAUCUAUUUAACUAGUGUUUUAAACUUUUAAUACAGCGGUUUAUGAGUUAGGCUGCUUUACUAAAUUUAGUUUCUAAUCUGGACUUCAUCAAAUAGCUUGGACUAUCUGUCCCCGGGCUAGGUCUGAAUAGUUUUCUAAUUUUAGGGCCCUUGGUGGUUGAUUCAGCUCGUGAUGAUUUGAAAGCUCUUAGUGUUAGCUAAUAAAACUCUAAUUUAUCACUCUCCCCUCUUCUUCCCUCCUCUUCCUUCUCACCUUUCUUUUUGCCCUUAGCAUAUCAAAUAUACCAAAACUGGCACGGUGUGCAAAUACAUACCAGACCCAAAGACUUGUGUUUUUGUAAUUUAACACGAAUUUCUAUUUCUAAUUGGAUUCUUUAUUUCCUAGAUAGGUGUUAUUUAUAUUUUUUAGUUUAUUCAAGACGCUAAAAUGUUUUUUCUAUUUAGUCUAGGUCUUUAAAUAUGUUUCAUAUUUAGAUUAGGACUUUUUAAUUCAUUCCUACUUAGAUUAAGAUUUAGAACUCUAUAAAUACUUAUUAUAUUUUUAUUAUGUACAAGUCUUCCAAAUUAUUCAAUGAAGGUUUCUUCUUCAUAAAG